RNAcentral lists this ribosomal RNA (253 nucleotides) under uncultured bacterium. RNAcentral describes it as "partial 16S ribosomal RNA". It matches the Rfam family "Bacterial small subunit ribosomal RNA", at positions 524 to 776 of the family's 1533-position model. The record is from RNAcentral.
UACAGAGGGUGCAAGCGUUGUUCGGAAUUACUGGGCGUAAAGCGCGUGUAGGUGGCGAUGUAAGUCGGGUGUGAAAUCCCUUGGCUUAACCAAGGAAGUGCAUUCGAUACUGUGUCGCUUGAGUAUCGGAGGGGUCGGCGGAAUUCCCGGUGUAGAGGUGAAAUUCGUAGAUAUCGGGAGGAACACCUGUGGCGAAGGCGGCCGACUGGACGAUCACUGACACUGAGACGCGAAAGCGUGGGUAGCAAACAGG